RNAcentral lists this ribosomal RNA (497 nucleotides) under uncultured bacterium. RNAcentral's name for it is "partial 16S ribosomal RNA". It matches the Rfam family "Bacterial small subunit ribosomal RNA", at positions 28 to 507 of the family's 1533-position model. The record is from RNAcentral.
GAUGAACGCUGGCGGCGUGCCUAAUACAUGCAAGUCGAGCGAACAGAUAAGGAGCUUGCUCCUUUGACGUUAGCGGCGGACGGGUGAGUAACACGUGGGUAACCUACCUAUAAGACUGGGAUAACUUCGGGAAACCGGAGCUAAUACCGGAUAACAUUUGGAACCGCAUGGUUCUAAAGUGAAAGAUGGUUUUGCUAUCACUUAUAGAUGGACCCGCGCCGUAUUAGCUAGUUGGUAAGGUAACGGCUUACCAAGGCAACGAUCCGUAGCUGACCUGAGAGGGUGAUCGGCCACACUGGAACUGAGACACGGUCCAGACUCCUACGGGAGGCAGCAGUGGGGAAUCUUCCGCAAUGGGCGAAAGCCUGACGGAGCAACGCCGCGUGAGUGAUGAAGGUCUUCGGAUCGUAAAACUCUGUUAUUAGGGAAGAAGAAAAGUGUAAGUAUCUGUGCACGUCUUGACGUUACCUAAUGAGAAAGCCACGGCUAACUACGUG